GAACUCCUACGGGGGGCAGCAGUGGGGAAUAUUGCACAAUGGGGGAAACCUUGAUGCAGCAACGCCGCGUGAGUGAAGAAGUAUCUCGGUAUGUAAAGCUCUAUCAGCAGGGAAGAAAAUGACGGUACCUGACUAAGAAGCCCAGGCUAACUACGUGCCAGCAGCCGCGGUAAUACGUAGGGGGCAAGCGUUAUCCGGAUUUACUGGGUGUAAGGGGAGCGUAGACGGUGUGGCAGGUCUGAAGUGAAAGCCCGGGGCUCAACCCCGGGACUGCCUUG
This 278-nucleotide ribosomal RNA is filed under the name uncultured bacterium. RNAcentral's name for it is "partial 16S ribosomal RNA". It matches the Rfam family "Bacterial small subunit ribosomal RNA", at positions 333 to 628 of the family's 1533-position model. The record is from RNAcentral.